Molecule: non-coding RNA, 112 nt
Organism: Rhodocollybia butyracea
Lineage: Eukaryota; Fungi; Basidiomycota; Agaricomycetes; Agaricales; Omphalotaceae
Source: the annotation of a GenBank genome assembly
GCCUUCUUAGCUCAGUGGUAGAGCGUUGCAGUUGUAUGGACACAAGUAUGGAUGCCUGUUAUCACCUAAUAGUACAAUGCAAAGGCCAGCCGUUCAAUCUGGCUAGGAGGCA